AUUAGCGGCGGACGGGUGAGUAACACGUGAGUAGCCUGCCUUAGACAUUGGGAUAGCCUCGGGAAACCGGGAUUAAUACCAAAUAAAAUCAUAAUGACACAUGUCAUAACGAUCAAAACUCCGGUGGUCUAAGAUGGACUCGCGUCCCAUUAGCUAGUUGGUAGAGUAAAAGCCUACCAAGGCGACGAUGGGUAGCCGGCCUGAGAGGGUGAACGGCCACAUUGGAACUGAGAAACGGUCCAA
Molecule: ribosomal RNA, 243 nt
Filed under: uncultured Eubacteriales bacterium
Lineage: Bacteria; Bacillati; Bacillota; Clostridia; Eubacteriales
Description: uncultured Clostridiales bacterium partial 16S ribosomal RNA
Rfam family: Bacterial small subunit ribosomal RNA
Source: RNAcentral